RNAcentral lists this ribosomal RNA (453 nucleotides) under uncultured bacterium. Its description in RNAcentral is "bacterial SSU rRNA". It matches the Rfam family "Bacterial small subunit ribosomal RNA", at positions 8 to 507 of the family's 1533-position model. The record is from RNAcentral.
AGAGUUUGAUCCUGGCUCAGAACGAACGCUGGCGGCAUGCCUAACACAUGCAAGUCGAACGAAGCCUUCGGGCUUAGCGGCGCACGGGUGCGUAACACGUGGGAAUCUGCCCUUCGGUUCGGAAUAACAGUUAGAAAUGACUGCUAAUACCGGAUGAUGACGAAAGUCCAAAGAUUUAUCGCCGAAGGAUGAGCCCGCGUAGGAUUAGGUAGUUGGUAGGGUAAUGGCCUACCAAGCCGACGAUCCUUAGCUGGUCUGAGAGGAUGAUCAGCCACACUGGGACUGAGACACGGCCCAGACUCCUACGGGAGGCAGCAGUGGGGAAUAUUGGACAAUGGGCGAAAGCCUGAUCCAGCAAUGCCGCGUGAGUGGUGAAGGCCUUAGGGUUGUAAAGCUCUUUUACCAGGGAUGAUAAUGACAGUACCUGGAGAAUAAGCUCCGGCUAACUCCGUG